Molecule: ribosomal RNA, 503 nt
Filed under: uncultured bacterium
Lineage: Bacteria
Description: partial 16S ribosomal RNA
Rfam family: Bacterial small subunit ribosomal RNA
Source: RNAcentral
AUUGAACGCUGGCGGCAGGCUUAACACAUGCAAGUCGAGCGGGGUGAUGGUGCUUGCACUAUCACUUAGCGGCGGACGGGUGAGUAAUGCUUAGGAAUCUGCCUAUUAGUGGGGGACAACAUCUCGAAAGGGAUGCUAAUACCGCAUACGUCCUACGGGAGAAAGCAGGGGAUCACUUGUGACCUUGCGCUAAUAGAUGAGCCUAAGUCGGAUUAGCUAGUUGGUGGGGUAAAGGCCUACCAAGGCGACGAUCUGUAGCGGGUCUGAGAGGAUGAUCCGCCACACGGGGACGGAGACACGGCCCAGACUCCUACGGGAGGCAGCAGUGGGGAAUAUUGGACAAGGGGGGGAACCCUGAUCCAGCCAUGCCGCGUGUGUGAAGAAGGCCUUAUGGUUGUAAAGCACUUUAAGCGAGGAGGAGGCUCUUUUGGUUAAUACCCAAGAUGAGUGGACGUUACUCGCAGAAUAAGCACCGGCUAACUCUGUGCCAGCCGCCGCGGUAA